This 980-nucleotide small RNA is filed under the name Homo sapiens (human). Its description in RNAcentral is "PPP1R3B divergent transcript (ENSG00000285236.3)". The record is from RNAcentral. Lineage: Eukaryota; Metazoa; Chordata; Mammalia; Primates; Hominidae.
GGUGAGCCUGUAAAGUUUUAGGAUCAAGGUUAAAGGCCCUUUUUUGCUCUCUUCUCUCUUGGACCUUCAGGCGACGGCUUGGGUAUCUUCCAAGCGAAUUUUCCUUUCUUUCCUGUUCUUUUUUUUUUUUGAGACGGAGUCUUGCUCUGUCGCCCAGGCUGGAGUGCAGUGGCGUGAUGUCGGCUCACUGCAAGCUCCGCCUCCCGGGUUCACGCCAUUCUCCUGCUUCAGCCUCCUGAGUAGCUGGGGCUACAGGCGCCCGCCACCACGCCCGGCUAAUUUUUUUGUAUUUUUUUUUUUAGUAGAGACGGGGUUCCACCGUGUUAGCCAGGAUGGUCUCGAUCUCCUGACCUCGUCAUCCUCCCGCCUUGGCCUCCCAAAGUGCUGGGAUUACAGGCUUGAGCCACCGCGCCCCGCUCUUUCGUGUUCCAAAGGCUUUUUAAAUAAACUUCCACUCCUGUCCUGGAUUCUGCUUUAUGGCCCUCAGUCGAAUUCUUUCUUCUGAGGAGGCAAGGACUGAAGUUGCUUCUGACCAGUACAGGUACGCCGCAGGAGAAAACGAAUACAGCAGGGAUGACUUCCACCAGCUCCACUUUGCAGCUCUGAGGUGUAUUAAAAAUGACCUGGAAGAAGUCAUGCCACGGGCCAGACCUUAACAUUCCUUUCGGCUUACCCCAGGAUUUCAGACGAAGCUUCACUUUCCUAACCAGUCACAAAUCAGAGAAUUUUUGAUUCCACCUAUGACCUGUGAGCUCCUGCUUCAAGAUAUUCCACCUUUUUUAGGCCAAACCAAUGUAUAACCUCCAAGUGUCGAUUUACACUUUCGACUGUAACUUCUGCUUUCCUGAGAUUUACCCCUGCCUUUAAAAACCCUUGCUUGUAAUCCCUCAGGGAGGCCGUGUAUUUAUUAAUCAUGAGCUGCCCAAUUCUCCUUGCUUGGUGCCCUGCAAAUAAACACCCUCUUUUCUCCCACUGCAAAA